This 214-nucleotide unclassified non-coding RNA is filed under the name Hevea brasiliensis (rubber tree). Lineage: Eukaryota; Viridiplantae; Streptophyta; Magnoliopsida; Malpighiales; Euphorbiaceae. The record is from RNAcentral.
UUUUGUCACAACUUCACAACAUCAUUCAUGCUUCGGAGAGUAUGACUAGGCUAUUCAAAUUGAAACAAUUUGACAAGUGUGCAGAAGAAUAUUUGAUAGAGUUCAUUGAAUACUAUGAUUGUCAAGAGCCUCAACAGCAAACAAUUGCGAGAUUUCUUACAAGUUUGAGGGAUGAUGUUGCAAGAAUAGUUGAAUUGCAAUAGUUUGAUUCUUU